GGAUUACAGGCUUGAGCCACCGCGCCCGGCCCAAGUGAGGUGCUUUUAUUUACCUUUAUUUUCUGAGUGAGGGAACAGGCUCAGUGCAGGGGCCUGUCAUGGAGGAACUUUGAUGCCUGGCUAGCAAGCUCUGUCCUCAAGAUGAGAAGCUGCAUGUGGGAACUCUGGCCUCCAGUUCUGGCUUAACUGUUGGUCUUUGUGAAUCUCUGCUUGCCCCUAGCCACUGCCAUGGAGCAGCUCAGACCAGGGUUGAAAUUAGAAUAGGGAGGGAAUAAAUUGGCUGGUUGUGUGA
This is a long non-coding RNA of Sapajus apella (tufted capuchin), 292 nucleotides long. RefSeq lists it as uncharacterized. The record is from RefSeq and is a predicted model, not a curated record. NCBI's taxonomy places the organism in Eukaryota, Metazoa, Chordata, Mammalia, Primates, Cebidae. The transcript is spliced from 2 exons.